UGCAUUAUCUCUUUUUGGCCGAAAGCUAAGAAGAAAAAGAAAUCAUUUUGAAGCUUGCAAGUUCGGCACUUUGAUGUCUUAAAUUAGAUCAAGAAAGGAAGAAAUUAGAUUUGGAUCGGGGGAAGUCGAAAGUUGUUGAAUAGUCGUUCCGAUCCGUUCGUUUCCGUACGAGAUAUAUAAAGCUAGCUUUGAGCUCGAGAAUCGUCAAGGAUCAUCAUCACACUAUUGACCAUUAUUCGGUACUUUUGAAGUUUGUAACUAAGACAUAUGGCAUGUAUAGGCUAGUUUUGUUAUGGUUAGUUUUGAAUUGUUUAUAAAUAGCCAUGCGAGGAUGGCUUGAUAAUGAUGUUCAAUAUGAUGUAUUUUUGGUCAUGAUAUAAGCUCAUUUUGGGAAGUAUGUUUCAUGGUA
Long non-coding RNA from Gossypium arboreum, 409 nucleotides. RefSeq lists it as uncharacterized. NCBI's taxonomy places the organism in Eukaryota, Viridiplantae, Streptophyta, Magnoliopsida, Malvales, Malvaceae. The transcript is spliced from 3 exons. The record is from RefSeq and is a predicted model, not a curated record.